GAUGAACGCUGGCGGCGUGCCUAAUACAAGCAAGUCGAGCGAACAGACGAGGAGCUUGCUCCUCUGACGUUAGCGGCGGACGGGUGAGUAACACGUGGAUAACCUACCUAUAAGACUGGGAUAACUUCGGGAAACCGGAGCUAAUACCGGAUAAUAUAUUGAACCGCAUGGUUCAAUAGUGAAAGACGGUUUUGCUGUCACUUAUAGAUGGAUCCGCGCCGCAUUAGCUAGUUGGUAAGGUAACGGCUUACCAAGGCAACGAUGCGUAGCCGACCUGAGAGGGUGAUCGGCCACACUGGAACUGAGACACGGUCCAGACUCCUACGGGAGGCAGCAGUAGGGAAUCUUCCGCAAUGGGCGAAAGCCUGACGGAGCAACGCCGCGUGAGUGAUGAAGGUCUUCGGAUCGUAAAACUCUGUUAUUAGGGAAGAACAAAUGUGUAAGUAACUGUGCACGUCUUGACGGUACCUAAUCAGAAAGCCACGGCUAACUACGUG
This 497-nucleotide ribosomal RNA is filed under the name uncultured bacterium. RNAcentral's name for it is "partial 16S ribosomal RNA". It matches the Rfam family "Bacterial small subunit ribosomal RNA", at positions 28 to 507 of the family's 1533-position model. The record is from RNAcentral.